AUUUUUGUUUCAGGAAGAAGCAAG
This 24-nucleotide non-coding RNA is filed under the name Arabidopsis thaliana (thale cress). Lineage: Eukaryota; Viridiplantae; Streptophyta; Magnoliopsida; Brassicales; Brassicaceae. The record is from RNAcentral.